This 403-nucleotide ribosomal RNA is filed under the name Fusobacteriota bacterium. Its description in RNAcentral is "Fusobacteria bacterium partial 16S ribosomal RNA". It matches the Rfam family "Bacterial small subunit ribosomal RNA", at positions 355 to 776 of the family's 1533-position model. The record is from RNAcentral. Lineage: Bacteria; Fusobacteriati; Fusobacteriota.
UGGGGAAUAUUGCACAAUGGAGGGAACUCUGAUGCAGCGACGCCGCGUGAACGAAGAAGGCUUUCGAGUCGUAAAGUUCUUUUAUAUGGGAAGAUAAUGACGGUACCAUAAGAAAAAGCCACGGCUAACUACGUGCCAGCAGCCGCGGUAAUACGUAGGGGGCUAGUGUUGUCCGGAAUCACUGGGCGUAAAGGGUUCGCAGGCGGAAAUGCAAGUCAGGUGUAAAAGGCAGUAGCUUAACUACUGUAAGCAUUUGAAACUGCAUAUCUUGAGAAGAGUAUAGGUAAGUGGAAUUUUUAGUGUAGCGGUGAAAUGCGUAGAUAUUAAAAAGAAUACCGGUGGCGAAGGCAACUUACUGGGCUCAUUCUGUCGCUGAGGAACGAAAGCGUCGGUAGCAAACAGG